GACGAACGCUGGCGGCGUGCUUAACACAUGCAAGUCGAACGGAAAGGCCCUGCUUUUGUGGGGUGCUCGAGUGGCGAACGGGUGAGUAACACGUGAGUAACCUGCCCUUGACUUUGGGAUAACUUCAGGAAACUGGGGCUAAUACCGGAUAGGAGCUCCUGCUGCAUGGUGGGGGUUGGAAAGUUUCGGCGGUUGGGGAUGGACUCGCGGCUUAUCAGCUUGUUGGUGGGGUAGUGGCUUACCAAGGCUUUGACGGGUAGCCGGCCUGAGAGGGUGACCGGCCACAUUGGGACUGAGAUACGGCCCAGACUCCUACGGGAGGCAGCAGUGGGGAAUAUUGCACAAUGGGCGGAAGCCUGAUGCAGCAACGCCGCGUGCGAAAUGACGGCCUUCGGGUUGUAAACCGCUUUCGCCUGUGACGAAGCGUGAGUGACGGUAAUGGGUAAAGAAGCACCGGCUAACUACGUG
RNAcentral lists this ribosomal RNA (468 nucleotides) under uncultured bacterium. Its description in RNAcentral is "partial 16S ribosomal RNA". It matches the Rfam family "Bacterial small subunit ribosomal RNA", at positions 28 to 507 of the family's 1533-position model. The record is from RNAcentral.